Molecule: ribosomal RNA, 1532 nt
Filed under: human gut metagenome
Description: bacterial LSU rRNA
Rfam family: Bacterial large subunit ribosomal RNA
Source: RNAcentral
CCUAGGAGUAUCCAGAGUAGCACCGGACACGUGAAACCUGGUGUGAAUACGUGCAGACCACUGCAUAAGGCUAAAUACAAGGUGUCGACCGAUAGUGAACAAGUACCGUGAGGGAAAGGUGAAAAGAACCCCUGUUAGGGGAGUUAAAAGUACCUGAAACCUGUUGCCUACAAGCGGUCGGAGCUCCGCAUGGAGUGACGGCGUACCUUUUGCAUAAUGGGCCUAGGAGUUUAUGUGAGUUGCGAGCUUAAGAGUUUACGACUUGGAGGCGAAGCGAAAGCGAGUUUGAAUAGGGCGCCAGUAACUUGCAUAACACCCGAAGCGGAGGCGAUCUAGCCAUGGCCAGGUUGAAGCAUCGGUAAUACGAUGUGGAGGACCGAACCCAUUAACCUUGAGAAGUUAAGGGAUGAGCUGUGGUUAGGAGUGAAAGGCUAAUCAAGCCCCGUAAUAGCUGGUUCUCUCCGAAAUAUAUUUAGGUAUAGCGCUCAAUGUUAAAGAUCGGGGGUAAAGCACUGAAAAGGCUAGGGUUCACACCAGAAUACCGAACCUUAUCAAACUCUGAAUACCGGUCGGGAAAAUUGAGUAGUCAGUCAGCGGGGGAUAAGCUCCGUUGGCGAGAGGGAAACACCCCAGACCAUCGAAUAAGGUCCCAAAGACAGUACUAAGUGGCAAGAAGGAGGUAAAUUUUCUUAGACAAUGGGGAUGUUGGCUUAGAGGCAGCCAUCAUUUAAAAAGUGCGUAAUAGCUUACCCAUCGAGAGAGUUUGCGCCGAAAAUGAUCGGGACUAAAGUACUGCACCGAAUUUGUGGAAUUAGCAAUAAUUGGUAGGAGAGCGUUCCAACGACGUUGAAGCGUGAUUGAAAGAGAGCGUGGAGUUUUUGGAAGUGAGAAUCUAGGCAUGAGUAACGAAAAGUAUGGUCAAAAUCCAUACCGCCGUAAGGAUAAGGUUUCCUGGGGAAGGUUCGUCCGCCCAGGGUUAGUCGGGAGCUAAGGCGAGGCCGUAAGGAGUAGUCGAUGCACAAUAGGUUAAUAAUCCUAUACCUGCUUAGUGGUGUUCGAGUUGCAUAUUGACGAAUACGUGAAGUUCAGCUGGGUGAUGAACAUCCCAGUCUAAGGUUGUGAAAGCAGCUGGGGACCUUGAGGCUACGGCCGAGAGGGAUUGAAUGGAUGGUGUUCCGGGAAAAUUUAUGCAAUGAAUCAUUAGGUAGCCCGUACCGCAAACCGACACAGGUAUCCGGGAAGAGUAUUCUAAGGCGCGUGAGUGAAAUCUCCCCAAGGAACUCGGCAAAAUGGCCCCGUAUCUUCGGUAGAAGGGGUGCCAACGCGAGUUGGUCUCAGCAAAGAGGCCCAACCGACUGUUUAUCAAAAACACAGCUCUCUGCGAAGUCGCAAGACGACGUAUAGGGAGUGACACGUGACCAAUGCGGAAAGGUGAAAACUGCUUGUUAACGCUUGUGGUCUAAGCCCCCGUGAAUGUCGGCCGUAACUAUAACGGUCCUAAGGUAGCGAAAUUCCUUGUCGGGUAAGUUCCG